CCUACGGGAGGCAGCAGUGGGGAAUAUUGGACAAUGGGCGAAAGCCUGAUCCAGCCAUGCCGCGUGUGUGAAGAAGGCCUUCGGGUUGUAAAGCACUUUCAGUGGGGAAGAAAGCCUUGGGGCUAAUACCCUCGAGGAAGGACAUCACCCACAGAAGAAGCACCGGCUAACUCCGUGCCAGCAGCCGCGGUAAUACGGAGGGUGCGAGCGUUAAUCGGAAUUACUGGGCGUAAAGCGCGCGUAGGCGGUCUGAUAAGCCGGUUGUGAAAGCCCCGGGCUCAACCUGGGAACGGCAUCCGGAACUGUCAGGCUAGAGUGCAGGAGAGGAAGGUAGAAUUCCCGGUGUAGCGGUGAAAUGCGUAGAGAUCGGGAGGAAUACCAGUGGCGAAGGCGGACUUCUGGACUGACACUGACGCUGAGGUGCGAAAGCGUGGGUAGCAAACAGGAUUAGAUACCCGAGUAGUC
Molecule: ribosomal RNA, 465 nt
Filed under: Vreelandella stevensii
Lineage: Bacteria; Pseudomonadati; Pseudomonadota; Gammaproteobacteria; Oceanospirillales; Halomonadaceae
Description: partial 16S ribosomal RNA
Rfam family: Bacterial small subunit ribosomal RNA
Source: RNAcentral